UUUUUUUUGUCGCGCCUCUCUUGGUGUUGAAUACCCUUUAUUGGUACCUCUACCACCCCGUCCACCACCGAAGGAUUAAAUCUAAAGAUUGGUCUUACGCAUGGACUUAAUUAAACCGCCAAGACUUAUGGAUGCAGGUGACAAAACAAAGGAACGUAUAACCAUAAACCAGCUCAAGAACAAAGAAAUCAAAACAAAAUAUAAACAACACUAAAAGUACGAGUGACACGGGAAUAUUUUUACUCAGAGUUGAAAUGCCGGCGGCAUUGACGCGCCAAGUCAAGUACUUGGUAUUUGUGUAAUAAGUAUUUCUUGGCAGAUUGAAGAUAUUUAGUAAUUGGAACGUGUUGUCAUUAAAAGUGGUAGUAAAGGUGCAAUUUAAUUUACCUAUCAGAUAUGGGUCUCUAAUUUACUAACACUAAUUACAGUUAGAUACCUACAUGGCUAAUAUUCAAAAACUUUGUUAUGAUUUCACUUUGAAUACUUAUUAAUUUUUUACUUGGUAUUUAAGGUUAUAUUUUAUUUUCAAUUUUAUAUAUUUGAUAAUAAAGACUACAGUAGGUAAUUUUGAGAUAUUGUGUCGCAUACCUAUGUUGUAUGCAAUUAUGAAGUAACUAUUUAAAAAACAAAUGCUAUUUAUUUAUAACAAAUGUGAACUUAUGACUUAUGUGCAUAAUUAAAAAAUGAAACAUA
Long non-coding RNA from Cydia pomonella (codling moth), 693 nucleotides. RefSeq lists it as uncharacterized. The record is from RefSeq and is a predicted model, not a curated record. NCBI's taxonomy places the organism in Eukaryota, Metazoa, Arthropoda, Insecta, Lepidoptera, Tortricidae. The transcript has 2 exons.